UGAUGAGGACACCACGAGUACAUCUACACCAGCAGCACCUCAGGCGCCUCCAGUUGCUCAUCCACCUCAGGAGCCUACAGUUGCUCAUCCAGUUGGGCCAAUCACUCGAGCCCGUGCGAGAGAAUUAAACUUCAUCAUGCUGUUAAGGAACGAAGGCCCAUCGGAAUAAGAAGAUGGCCCAACAGGGCAGCCCAGGUGGGGCGCCUAGGGUUGGGCGCCGU
Molecule: long non-coding RNA, 221 nt
Filed under: Setaria italica (foxtail millet)
Lineage: Eukaryota; Viridiplantae; Streptophyta; Magnoliopsida; Poales; Poaceae
Description: long non-coding RNA (SITA_LNC002310)
Source: RNAcentral